UGGGGAAUUUUGGACAAUGGGCGAAANCCUGAUCCAGCAAUGCCGCGUGUGUGAAGAAGGCCUUCGGGUUGUAAAGCAUCUUUUGUCCGGGAAAGAAAAUCCUUGGGCUCUAAUACAGUCGGGGGAUGACGGUACCGGAAGAAUAAGCACCGGCUAACUACGUGCCAGCAGCCGCGGUAAUACGUAGGGUGCAAGCGUUAAUCGGAAUUACUGGGCGUAAAGCGUGCGCAGGCGGUUUGCUAAGACCGAUGUGAAGUCCCCAGGCUCAACCUGGGAACUGCAUUGGUGACUGGCAGGCUAGAGUAUGGCAGAGGGGGUAGAUUCCACGUGUAGCAGUGAAAUGCGUAGAGAUGUGGAGGAAUACCGAUGGCGAAGGCAGCCCCCUGGGCCAAUACUGACGCUCAUGCACGAAAGCGUGGGGAGCAAACAGGAUUAGAUACCCUGGUAGUCCACGCCCCUAAAACGAUGUCAACUAGUUGUUGGGGGAUUCAUUUCCUUAGUAACGUAGCUAACGCGUGAAGUUGACCGCCUGGGGAGUACGGUCGCAAGAUUAAAACUC
This 559-nucleotide ribosomal RNA is filed under the name uncultured bacterium. RNAcentral's name for it is "partial 16S ribosomal RNA". It matches the Rfam family "Bacterial small subunit ribosomal RNA", at positions 355 to 902 of the family's 1533-position model. The record is from RNAcentral.